This 378-nucleotide ribosomal RNA is filed under the name uncultured bacterium. RNAcentral describes it as "bacterial SSU rRNA". It matches the Rfam family "Bacterial small subunit ribosomal RNA", at positions 527 to 903 of the family's 1533-position model. The record is from RNAcentral.
GUAGGGGGCAAGCGUUAUCCGGAUUUACUGGGUGUAAAGGGAGCGUAGGCGGCCAUGCAAGUCAGAAGUGAAAGCCCGGGGCUCAACCCCGGGACUGCUUUUGAAACUGUAAGGCUAGAUUGCCGGAGAGGUAAGCGGAAUUCCUAGUGUAGCGGUGAAAUGCGUAGAUAUUAGGAGGAACACCAGUGGCGAAGGCGGCUUACUGGACGGUGAAUGACGCUGAGGCUCGAAAGCGUGGGGAGCAAACAGGAUUAGAUACCCUGGUAGUCCACGCUGUAAACGAUGAAUACUAGGUGUUGGGGUCCAAAAGGACUUCGGUGCCGCAGCAAACGCAAUAAGUAUUCCACCUGGGGAGUACGUUCGCAAGAAUGAAACUCA